UAAGUGGAUAAUACUCUUACUAGUCUUACCAUCUGAUCCACAAGUCAUGCAUGUAGCUGUUUAACCAACUGAUGGGAAACAUACCCACACAAACAUCUGCACACAAAUGUUGCAGCAGCUUUAUUUAUAAUCACCAAAACAACCAAAAUGUCUGUGAAUAGAUGAAUGGAUAAACAAAUUGUGAUACAUUAACAGAAUGGAAUGUUGUACAACGAUAACAAGAAAUGAGCUACCAAGCCGCAAAAAACAUGGAUGCUAGGUGAAAUAAGACAGUCUGAAAAAGCUGUAUACUCUACUAUUCCCAUUAUAUGGCAUUCUGAAGAAAGUGAAAUUAUGGAAGGACUAAAAAGAUCAGAGAUUGCCAGAGGAUUGGGGGAGGGUGGAAGGGUUGAACAUGGAAUUUUUAGGACAGGGAAACUAUUCUGAAUGAUAUGAUAAUAGUGGAGAUAUGACAUGCAUUUACCAAAGCCCAUAAACCUUUAUAGCACAAAGAGUGAGUCUUAAUAUAUGCAUAAAAAUUAAUUCAUUUAGAGAGGAGGUUCCUGGAUGGAAUGCAGGAUGUGACAAAACAAUCUAACUAUUACAAAUGUGUGAAACCACCUAAUGGAAUGGGUUUUGGGGAAGGAUUCUGACCUAACCUUGGAAAUGAGUCUGUAAGAUGAAAGGCAAAAGUAUCUGUGUAUAAGCACCAUGUUCCAGUUGAUAGUUAUUUGUCAUAGCAGUAUGGGUUAACAAUUCUGACACUGCUAGAAUAUGUAAAAUUGAACAAUUAAAUACAUGGAUUGCAGAUGGUGAGAACCAGGUUUCACUGUUAGCCUAUGAGGUUAUAAAUAGCAAGAAGAGGACGUUAAAAUGAUCCAUGGAGUAAAGGAUUAGAGUUGGAGAUGUCAGUAUAAACUCCUGUUUAGCUUAAUAUAGAUACAGAUGAUUAUAUAUUUAGGUAGUGAACAUACACAGGCUAGUAAAUACACUUUUUACAUUGUUCAUCAGUUGAAGAGGCAUAAAAGCAAUGGCAUCCCAGUAGCAAAGACCACAUAUGACGCUCAGAUUACUGGUUUCUAAUACCUUUCUCCAAAAAGGAACUAGGGCUCUUCAGAGAAUGGCUGAUUCUAAAACUGUAGCAGAAAAUAUGUAAGAUUAGCCUGGAGCAUCUUGUAGCACCAAAAAAGUAAAGUGUAAGUGUUAAAAAGGGCCAUCUGGGUGGCUCAGUCAGUUAAGUAGCUUGGGUUUGGAUCAUGAUCCCAGAGGGUCCUGGGAUAGAGCCCUGAGUUGGGUUCCCUACUCAGUGGGAAGUCUGCUUCUCCCUCUCCCUCUGACCUUCCCCCCUGUUUGUGCUUAUGUUAUCUUUCUUUCUCAAAUGAAUAAAUAAAAAAAAUUUCUUUUGGUAAAUUUAUUUUUUAUUGGUGUUCAAUUUGCCAACAUCUAGAAUAUCACCCAGUGCUUAAAAAAUCUUUAAAAAAAAAAACAAACAAAAAACAAGCACUGCAAUGAGAGGAAUAUGUCAAAAGAAUGAAGGAGCCAAUUAAAAGAUCUGAUGGCUAAAGCUGGAACCCUUUGAACAACAAAAUAAACAUUGGAUUAUAACCCAAAGUAUAAAGUAAUCCAUGAGUCCAUGCUGAUAAAUGAUUGAAUACAUAAAUGGGGAAGAAGAGACCAUUUCUCAUACAGAAUACUAAGUAAUUUACAUAGAUACUCUGGACUUAAGAUAUUCUACCUUUAAGCAUGGGUUGCACAUAGCGAUUUCCUUCCAAAGUUUAUAAUAUGGAAAGGCAGGUGGGAAGAGCAACCUUAUAGAGACAAACACUAUCUCGGGCAGGUGAUCAUGGUCAAAGUCAACAGUGAUAAGUCAUUUAUUAUUAUGGACUCUGGAUAGGAUACCAUGAAAAUAAUACUUCACUUCUUUGGUCUUCUUUACAAAUAAUCUGGCAAAUCCCAACUGAGGAACAUUCUACAAAAUAGCUGACCAGAAUUCUUCAAAACUAUUAAGGUCAUUACAGACAAAAAUCUGAAAAACUGACAGCCAAGAGGAGCCUGAGAAGACAGAACUCCUAGAUGUAAUGUGGUGUCCCGGAUUGGAUUGUAAAACAGAAAUAGAGUAGUAGCUAAAAACAAAAGAAUUCUGAAUAAAAUACAGGCUUUAUGAAUGAUUGUAAAUGAUUAUCAGUAUUGAUUUGGUAAUUGUAACAGAUGUACCAUACACACAUAAUAUGGGGAAACUGGGUAUGGGUUAUUUGGGAAAUCUGUACCAUAUUCUUAAUUUCUCUGUAAAUCUAAAACUGUACCCAAAAAAUAAAGUUUAUUUUAAAAA
RNAcentral lists this long non-coding RNA (2308 nucleotides) under Canis lupus familiaris (dog). RNAcentral describes it as "lncRNA (ENSCAFG00000051141.1, ENSCAFG00845016034.1)". Lineage: Eukaryota; Metazoa; Chordata; Mammalia; Carnivora; Canidae. The record is from RNAcentral.